UUAUCCUCUCAGGCCUUUUGGCUAAGAUCAAGUGUAGUAUCUGUUCUUUAUAGUUUAACAACUAUAAUGCCGUACAUGUACGGCUGUUGUUAUUCUAAUUUUUUUGCGCCUGGGUUUAUGAGCUCUGGCUUGCUAUCUCAUGAAUCCACUGAUGUCCUUUGCCUUACACUAUUUGCAAUGUGACGUCGAGUUGGG
Molecule: small nuclear RNA, 195 nt
Filed under: Absidia repens
Lineage: Eukaryota; Fungi; Mucoromycota; Mucoromycetes; Mucorales; Cunninghamellaceae
Description: U2 spliceosomal RNA
Rfam family: U2 spliceosomal RNA
About the family: U2 is a small nuclear RNA (snRNA) component of the spliceosome (involved in pre-mRNA splicing).
Source: Rfam by way of RNAcentral